GACGAACGCUGGCGGCGUGCCUAAUACAUGCAAGUAGAACGCACAGUUUAUACCGUAGCUUGCUACACCAUAGACUGUGAGUUGCGAACGGGUGAGUAACGCGUAGGUAACCUGCCUGGUAGCGGGGGAUAACUAUUGGAAACGAUAGCUAAUACCGCAUAAUAUUAAUUAUUGCAUGAUAAUUAAUUGAAAGGUGCAAUUGCACCACUACCAGAUGGACCUGCGUUGUAUUAGCUAGUAGGUGAGGUAACGGCGCACCUAGGCGACGAUACAUAGCCGACCUGGAAGGGUGGACGGCCACACUGGGACUGAGACACGGCUCAGACUCCUAAGGGAAGCAGCAGUAGGGAAACUUCGGCAAUGGGCGAAAGUCUGGACGCGGAACGCCGCGGGAGUGAAGAAGGGUUUCGGAUCGUAAAGGUCUGUUGUAAGGGAAGAACGGGUGUGAGAGUGGAAAGUUCACACUGUGACGGUAUCUUACCAGAAAGGGACGGCUAACUACGUG
Molecule: ribosomal RNA, 505 nt
Filed under: uncultured bacterium
Lineage: Bacteria
Description: partial 16S ribosomal RNA
Rfam family: Bacterial small subunit ribosomal RNA
Source: RNAcentral